CCAGACUCCUACGGGAGGCAGCAGUGAGGAAUAUUGGUCAAUGGCCGAGAGGCUGAACCAGCCAAGUCGCGUGAGGGAUGACGGCCCUACGGGUUGUAAACCUCUUUUGUCGGGGAGCAAAGAGAGUCACGUGUGGCUCAUUGAGAGUACCCGAAGAAAAAGCAUCGGCUAACUCCGUGCCAGCAGCCGCGGUAAUACGGAGGAUGCGAGCGUUAUCCGGAUUUAUUGGGUUUAAAGGGUGCGUAGGCGGAAUAUCAAGUCAGCGGUAAAAAUUCGGGGCUCAACCCCGUCGGGCCGUUGAAACUGAUGUUCUUGAGUGGGCGAGAAGUAUGCGGAAUGCGUGGUG
RNAcentral lists this ribosomal RNA (346 nucleotides) under uncultured bacterium. RNAcentral describes it as "bacterial SSU rRNA". It matches the Rfam family "Bacterial small subunit ribosomal RNA", at positions 331 to 675 of the family's 1533-position model. The record is from RNAcentral.